This 1597-nucleotide long non-coding RNA is filed under the name Vitis vinifera (wine grape). Its description in RNAcentral is "long non-coding RNA (VVIN_LNC003546)". Lineage: Eukaryota; Viridiplantae; Streptophyta; Magnoliopsida; Vitales; Vitaceae. The record is from RNAcentral.
AAAAUAUGUUUUGUUUCACAAAAGAAACUUGUACAACAUUAAUUUACAUAUACCAAACCCCAUUGUUUACUACGAGUAGCCCAUACUACAAGUGUAUCUGACAAAUAUAUACAUUACAUCAUUCCAACAAAAGGUUUAGUCUUGAUACAAAAGGCAUGGCCUCAAAAGACUUUCAAUAUGAGCAAACAACAUCCAAUCACAGUAAAGCAUUGCUCAAGCAUUCUUUCCUGCAUAGGUCUUCUGACCUGCAUCUAGAGGUGGAAGGGAUAGGGUGAGUUCACAACUCAGUAGGAAAGUUUAUAACCAUCCUAAGUAUACCCUUAAAAACCUUGAAUUAAACGUUUAAUAAUAUGCAUGAUAAACAUUUCAUAACCAUUAACAAAUGUGUAAUCGUGUCAAACAUGUAUGCAUGUGUUUGUUGGUUUCAUCAUUGCUUUUCCCCAUCCAUCCUUUCACAACUGAUAAAUUGCUGACUCCCAACAAUCUACACAGCAGAUAUCAAUGCUCCACAAGACACUCGAUCAAUAUAAUAAUGACUAUUUUGGGACAUCACCCAAGGGCAAGUCAUACCCCGUGUCUUUUGGGACUCAUACCCAAGGGCAGGACCAACCCCAUGUCUUUAGGGACUAAAACCCAGGGGCAGGACCAACCCCAUACACCCACAUCGGAGUGUCUUCUUCGAGGGCUUUAGGGACUUUCACCCAAGGACCUACGGUCCCACAUAAACAAUAUAUCAAAUGAUAAGGCCUGUAGCAUCACAUAAGCACUUCGCCAUCAAUAAAUUCUCUGAAUAUGAUCUGUGAUAAUUCCAUAUCCUUCUUGCAAUGCAAUCACACCAUAAACCAUUUCGACAACACAAAACCACGAAUCUUCAUACCAAUAUACGUUCCAACAUCAUGGUAACAUUUCAAUGCAAUAAACCGAGAUGCAAUGACACUUUAAAAGAUUUUAUGAAAUCAUAGAAAUAACAUAAAAUUCCAACAAAUAAUUCAAGGAAAGAAAUUAGAUACACCAUAGAAUAGCAUAAAAUUCCCUACCUUACACCGACUUCCUUUUGUGUUUCUUCUAAGUAGGCGAUCUUUGCCUAUUACGAGGAACUGAAAUGAAACAACAUAAUUUAGGUUUUAGUUUAUUGUUGCAAAUUUUUAAUUCUCACAUUCUCUAAUCUAUAUCCUACAUGUUUUCAAAUCAAAUUUGAAUUGAAUUAAACAAUAUUUACAAUGCAUAUUAAUUUCCCUAAUUAAUUACCAAAUACUAAUUCUUUUGAUUUUCUUAAAGCCUAACCUAUUAACAAAUCCCAAGUGUCCAAAUAACCCAAUUCAUCACAUGUUUACUAAUCUAUUUUUCAAUCAAGCCAAAUUAAACAAAGAUUUAUGCUGAUCUUACCAUUAAUAAAAUACUUAACUUAAAAUACUUUAAUCUUUAAUUAAUUGUGAUUUUUAACUAAAACGGGUUUAUAGUUAAUUAUACUCAACUUUUACACAAUUUUUACCGUUAAUUCUUUUCAACAUACCAUUAGGAACCAAAAUAAACGAAAAUUACAAAAUUAAACAACUUGCUUACCUCAAAUCUACACUUUCUCUCUCUAGAUUCUCUC